AUUGAACGCUGGCGGCAUGCUUUACACAUGCAAGUCGAACGGUAACAGGCCGCAAGGUGCUGACGAGUGGCGAACGGGUGAGUAAUGCAUCGGAACGUGCCCAGUCGUGGGGGAUAACUACUCGAAAGAGUAGCUAAUACCGCAUACGAUCUAUGGAUGAAAGCGGGGGACCGUAAGGCCUCGCGCGAUUGGAGCGGCCGAUGUCAGAUUAGGUAGUUGGUGGGGUAAAGGCUCACCAAGCCAACGAUCUGUAGCUGGUCUGAGAGGACGACCAGCCACACUGGGACUGAGACACGGCCCAGACUCCUACGGGAGGCAGCAGUGGGGAAUUUUGGACAAUGGGCGCAAGCCUGAUCCAGCAAUGCCGCGUGCAGGAAGAAGGCCUUCGGGUUGUAAACUGCUUUUGUACGGAACGAAACGGCUCUGGUUAAUACCCGGGGCUAAUGACGGUAUCGUAAGAAUAAGCACCGGCUAACUACGUG
This 482-nucleotide ribosomal RNA is filed under the name uncultured bacterium. RNAcentral's name for it is "partial 16S ribosomal RNA". It matches the Rfam family "Bacterial small subunit ribosomal RNA", at positions 30 to 507 of the family's 1533-position model. The record is from RNAcentral.